Molecule: ribosomal RNA, 468 nt
Filed under: uncultured bacterium
Lineage: Bacteria
Description: partial 16S ribosomal RNA
Rfam family: Bacterial small subunit ribosomal RNA
Source: RNAcentral
GACGAACGCUGGCGGCGUGCUUAACACAUGCAAGUCGAACGGAAAGGCCCUGCUUUGGGGGGGUGCUCGAGGGGCGAACGGGUGAGUAACACGUGAGUAACCUGCCCUGGACGUUGGGAUAACUUCAGGAAACUGGGGCUAAUACCGGAUAGGAGGUCGUGCUGCAUGGUGGGGGUUGGAAAGUGUCGGCGGGUGGGGAUGGACUCGCGGCGUAUGAGGGUGUGGGAGGGGUAGUGGCUUACCAAGGCUUGGACGGGUAGCCGGCCUGGGAGGGUGACCAGCGCCCAUACUCCUGCGGUACGGCCCAGUGUCCUACGGGAGGCAGCAGUGGGAAACCUUACCCAAUGGGCGGAAGCCUGAUGAGGAAACGCCGCGUGCGGGAUGACGGCUUUCGGGUUGUAAACCGCUUUCGCUUGUGACGAGGCGUGAGUGACGGUAAUGGGUAAAGAAGCACCGGCUAACUACGUG